GGGCCCGCACAAGCGGUGGAGCAUGUGGUUUAAUUCGAUGCAACGCGAAGAACCUUACCAGGGUUUGACAUAGUACGAAGUUUUUUGAAAAAAAACCACCUUCGGGAACGUACAUACAGGUGGUGCAUGGCUGUCGUCAGCUCGUGUCGUGAGAUGUUGGGUUAAGUCCCGCAACGAGCGUAACCCUUGUUUUUAGUUGCCUUUCGAGGAUAUUUAGAAAGACUGCCGAUUAUAAAUCGGAGGAAGGUAAGGACGACGUCAAGUCAUCAUGCCCCUUACACUCUGGGCUACACACGUGCUACAUUGGGCGAGACAAUGAGAUGCAAAUCUGUGAAGACUAGCU
This 343-nucleotide ribosomal RNA is filed under the name uncultured bacterium. RNAcentral's name for it is "partial 16S ribosomal RNA". It matches the Rfam family "Bacterial small subunit ribosomal RNA", at positions 917 to 1269 of the family's 1533-position model. The record is from RNAcentral.